CUGCUCGGUCUCCUGGCGCCCAGGCGAGGGCGGAGACGCGACCAUACGUUCUAGAGUGCAAGCCCAGGGUUCCACCAAGCCCAGGCAGCGCGCACUUUGAGCAAGAUCUUGUAAAGUUUCCGCGCGGCUCCGCCAGGGUGGAGCGGGACGCUGGCUCUUACCGUAGACUCCUUGUCCCCGACAGUGGAAGGGGAUCAGCGCCAGAAGUAGAAGGCAGGUCACCUCCAUCUUCACGGCCAGUGCUUCAUCCCCACGAGGCGGCGCAGCCUGAGAGGCGGCGGGGGGCGCAUCCGCCGGGGCACCGCGAUGCCCUCUGCGUUCCCUCCUUUUCCCUGAGACGCGAAGGAGAGGGCGGCGACCGAGACUAGGAGUCUAAGCAAACCGCGACUCGGCUCCGUUCUCUUUCCAUAGGGCGGCUGCCCGGGUGGAGACGCAGGGGGCGCUGGCCCAGACCUUGAUGCCUCUGCGCACCGGGCGCAGCAACCAGCUCCCUGGCCCAGAAAGCUCGGCCACCGAGCAGUCCUGGGUUCCCAGGGCUGUCCGCCCAGCGUGCUGAGCGCGAGGGACCUCUCUGCUGUGGCGGCCGC
This 587-nucleotide long non-coding RNA is filed under the name Rattus norvegicus (Norway rat). RNAcentral describes it as "long non-coding RNA NONRATT017228". The record is from RNAcentral. Lineage: Eukaryota; Metazoa; Chordata; Mammalia; Rodentia; Muridae.